CCUUCGAUAGCUCAGCUGGUAGAGCGGAGGACUGUAGACUGCUGAAAAGUCUGUGGACAUCCUUAGGUCGCUGGUUCGAUUCCGGCUCGAAGGA
Molecule: transfer RNA, 94 nt
Filed under: Chlorocebus sabaeus (green monkey)
Lineage: Eukaryota; Metazoa; Chordata; Mammalia; Primates; Cercopithecidae
Rfam family: tRNA
About the family: Transfer RNA (tRNA) molecules are approximately 80 nucleotides in length. Their secondary structure includes four short double-helical elements and three loops (D, anti-codon, and T loops).
Source: Rfam by way of RNAcentral